RNAcentral lists this ribosomal RNA (445 nucleotides) under uncultured bacterium. RNAcentral's name for it is "bacterial SSU rRNA". It matches the Rfam family "Bacterial small subunit ribosomal RNA", at positions 330 to 792 of the family's 1533-position model. The record is from RNAcentral.
CCCAGACUCCUACGGGAGGCAGCAGUGGGGAAUAUUGCACAAUGGGGGAAACCCUGAUGCAGCGACGCCGCGUGAAGGAAGAAGUAUUUCGGUAUGUAAACUUCUAUCAGCAGGGAAGAAAAUGACGGUACCUGACUAAGAAGCCCCGGCUAACUACGUGCCAGCAGCCGCGGUAAUACGUAGGGGGCAAGCGUUAUCCGGAUUUACUGGGUGUAAAGGGAGCGUAGGCGGUUUAGCAAGUCAGAAGUGAAAGCCCGGGGCUCAACUCCGGGACUGCUUUUGAAACUGCGUCGCUGGAGUACGGGAGGGGCAGGCGGAAUUCCUGGUGUAGCGGUGAAAUGCGUAGAUAUCAGGAGGAACACCGGCGGCGAAGGCGGCCUGCUGGACCGUGACUGACGUUGAGGCUCGAGAGCGUGGGGAGCAAACAGGAUUAGAUACCCGAGUA